GAUGAACGCUGGCGGCGUGCCUAAUACAUGCAAGUCGAGCGAACAGACGAGGAGCUUGCUCCUCUGACGUUAGCGGCGGACGGGUGAGUAACACGUGGAUAACCUACCUAUAAUUCUGGGAUCACUUCGGGACACCGGAGCUUAUACCGGAUAAUAUCUUGAACCGCAUGGUUCAAUAGUGAAUGUCGGUUUUGCUGUAACUUCUCGAUGGUUCCGCGCCGCAGUAGCUAGUUGGUACGGUAACGGCUUACCACGGCAACGAUGCGUAGCCGACCUGAGAGGGUGGUCGGCCACACGGGAACUGAGACACGGUCCAGGCUCCUACGGGAGGCAGCAGUAGGGAAUCUUCCGCAAUGGGCGAAAGCCUGACGGAGCAACGCCGCGUGAGUGAUGAAGAUCUUCGGAUCGUAAAACUCUGUUAUUAGGGAAGAACAAAUGUGUAAGUAACUAUGCACGUCUUGACGGUACCUAAUCAGAAAGCCACGGCUAACUACGUG
Molecule: ribosomal RNA, 497 nt
Filed under: uncultured bacterium
Lineage: Bacteria
Description: partial 16S ribosomal RNA
Rfam family: Bacterial small subunit ribosomal RNA
Source: RNAcentral